UACGACUACAUAUCAGGCAUAUCAAUAAGCGGAGGAAAAGAAACUAACGAGGAUUCCCUUAGUAACGGCGAGUGAAGCGGGAAGAGCUCAAAUUUGAAAUCUUCAAGGUCUUACCUUGACGAAUUGUAGUUUAAAGAAGUGUUUUCUGUUGAAGUUUCGGUAAAAGUUCUUUAGAAUAGGACAUCAUAGAGGGUGAGAAUCCCGUAUUUGACCGUUAUUUUCAGCUGUGUGAUACACUUUCAAAGAGUCGGAUUGUUUGGGAAUGCAGUCCAAAAUGGGUGGUAAAUUUCAUCUAAAGCUAAAUAUUGGCGAGAGACCGAUAGCGAACAAGUACCGUGAGGGAAAGAUGAAAAGAACUUUGAAAAGAGAGUUAAACAGUACGUGAAAUUGUCAAAAGGGAAGCGUUUGACACCAGUGUUGUUUUCUCGAAAAUCAAUUAAAAAUGGCUUGAUUUUGUGUUGUAUUGACCUUAAAAGCUUUCUUCACUUUUUUCAUGUCUUUUUUAAUGCACUUUUCGUUUAACAAGUCAGCAUCAGUUUCUUUUGUUGUAAAAAGGUCAUUGGAAGGUGGCUUUCUUUUCGGAGAAAGUGUUUAUAGCCUUUGACUCCUGCAAUCGGAGAGACUGAGGUCUGCAGCGUAGAUCCUUCUUGGAUUAGAUUCAUUUGUGCUAAGUUAUAGCUUUUUCAUAGACAACAUUGUUGACUAUAUUUAGUCAUUGUAACUUACUCGCUUAUGUAAUUUUACCUACGCUUAGGAUGUUGAACGCGCACAGAGUCUC
RNAcentral lists this ribosomal RNA (778 nucleotides) under uncultured Neocallimastigales. Its description in RNAcentral is "partial large subunit ribosomal RNA". It matches the Rfam family "Eukaryotic large subunit ribosomal RNA", at positions 24 to 611 of the family's 3401-position model. Lineage: Eukaryota; Fungi; Neocallimastigomycota; Neocallimastigomycetes; Neocallimastigales. The record is from RNAcentral.